RNAcentral lists this ribosomal RNA (253 nucleotides) under uncultured bacterium. RNAcentral describes it as "partial 16S ribosomal RNA". It matches the Rfam family "Bacterial small subunit ribosomal RNA", at positions 524 to 776 of the family's 1533-position model. The record is from RNAcentral.
UACAGAGGGUGCAAACGUUGCUCGGAAUCAUUGGGCGUAAAGCGCACGUAGGCGGUUUGGUAAGUCGGGUGUGAAAUCCCUCGGCUUAACCGAGGAAGUGCAUUCGAAACUACCAAGCUUGAAUACUCAAGAGGGUCUCGGAAUUCCCGGUGUAGAGGUGAAAUUCGUAGAUAUUCGGAAGAACACCAGUGGCGAAGGCGGCUCACUGGACUGGUAUUGACGCUGAGGUGCGAAAGCGUGGGGAGCAAACAGG